AAUGGAAUACUACUCAGCCAUAAAAAGAAUGAAAAUAGUGCCAUUCGCAGCAACAUGGAUGAACCUAGAGAUUAAUAUAGGUUCUUACUAGGCGAAGUAAGUCAGAAAGAGAAAGGCAAACAUACGCUAUUACUUAAAUGUAGAAUCUAAAAUGUGACACAUAUGAGCUUAUCUAUGAAACACAAACAGACUCACAAACAUAGAGAACAGACUUGUGAUUCCCAAGGAGGAGGAGGGGCAGGGGAGGGAUGAAUUGGGAGUUUGGGAUUAGUAGAUGCAAAGCAUUUUAUAUAGAAUGGAUAAACAACAAGGACCUACUGUAUAGCACAAGGAGCUAUAUUUAAUAUCCUAUAAUAAACCAUAAGGGGAAAAAUAUAUUCUCUUUGUUUGGGGAGAGGGGCGCACCCGAGGCAUAUGGAGGUCCCCAGGCUAGAGGUCAAAUUGGAGCUGUAGCUGCCAGCCUGUACCAGAGCCACAGCAACACAGGAUCCGAGCUGCAUCUGCAACCUACACCAUGGCUAACGGCAAUGCCAGAUCCUUGACCCACUCUGGGAGACCAGGGGUCGAACCUGCAUCCUCAUGGAUACUAGUUGGGUUCCUUAACUGCUGAGCCACCAUGGGAACUCCAGGGGCUAUAGGACCACUUUCCUGUGUCCCAUUGUCUGUGUCUCUCUACUCAGCUGAUGUGAGAGUUAGACAGACCUCGCUGUCAAUCACCACUGAGGUCUUUUCUCUCAGCCGUGGCAUUUCCAGGCCCAAGUAUCAAAAGUCAGGCUGACAGCCCUGGCAGCUUGGGGAAAGAGCGCAAGAGGCUUUUUAACAGGCUUAAGCCCUGGUUUUGACAUGCAAUCUCAGCUAAGCAACAGCUGGGUGGCUAUAGACCAGACUCAAACAUCUGCCUUCUUCUCUAGGUAUUAGCACAAGCUUCUUUGCUAAUACUAUUAUUAAGGAAUUAUCAGUAUUUUGCAAGUGCUGUCUCUUCCUAAAACGAUGGCUAAAGUCAUACAGGACAGGACCUCAGUAGUCAAGACACAACAAGGCAAGGUCUUAUUCUCACCUCUCCUCUCCUCUCAAGGUCAUUAUACUGAUCUGAUUAUCUUAAGGAAGCAAAUUCUGGUUUCAAAAGCCACCUCUGCUCUGUCUUUGCACUAACUCACUUAGAGGCUUUAACCCAGAGUCUAGCAGAAAUGAAUCCAACUAGGAACCAUGAGGUUGUGGGUUAGAUCCCUGGCCUCACUCAGUGGGCUAAGGAUCUGGUGUUGCCCUGAUCUGUGGUGUAGGUCGCAGACGCAGCUUAGAUCUGGCAUUGCUGUGGCUGUGGUAUAGGACGGUGGCUACAGCUCCAAUAAGACCCCUAGCCUAGGAACCUCCACAUGCCACGGGUAUGGCC
This 1390-nucleotide long non-coding RNA is filed under the name Sus scrofa (pig). RNAcentral describes it as "lncRNA (ENSSSCG00030047859.1)". Lineage: Eukaryota; Metazoa; Chordata; Mammalia; Artiodactyla; Suidae. The record is from RNAcentral.